UUAUGUUGACUGAGGUAACAGUCGAGAGUCAAAGCUAACCAAUACACCAGUAACUUUUUUGUUUUCACACAUACACCAUCCGCAUCCCGUCAAAUCCACCGCCAUCACCAGUGAACUGGAGAACUUCCUGACAGGCAGUUUUAUUCCAACGAAUUCUGAAGAGGUUACAGUCUCGUACAAUCAUUCUCCACCAACUCGGGGAAUAAUGAUAAUAAAAAUUUCAAAUUCCAGUCAACCGAUGGAAAAUGUCACCAGAAUCAUAUAAUAUUGAGAAUGUAUCGUCUGAAGUUGGUAGAAGAAAUAAGUGAAAAAGGAGAGAAGGAGGCAAAAGUUCAAAUAUUUGUUUUGGGUUUGACCCAAGGGAUGGAUACAAUAUUUCGAGUGAGCAUCAGCCGAGACCCCCACAAUUUCUCCCCAGACCUUUCUCCUGAACUUUCCCUCCUCUCCCUUUCUAUUCUACUGUAUGUGUAGAAUUCACAAGCUGACGAGGACUCUGAUUUAUCUUUUAUUUUUCUUGAGAAGAUCUGAGAGAAAGACGACAAGGGAUGAGCAGAAAAAACCCAGUCAGGAGUACAGUCUAGCGCAUCAAUCCUACCCUUACUAUUGAGGGAUGAUUCAGUGUAUCGUAGCUCUGACAUUUGAUGUGGCGAUGGACUGCCCCCCCCCCUCAAUACCUCUCAUUCGCGACCUCACACAGAGAUCAAU
Diachasmimorpha longicaudata is the source of this 705-nucleotide long non-coding RNA. RefSeq lists it as uncharacterized. The transcript is spliced from 3 exons. The record is from RefSeq and is a predicted model, not a curated record. NCBI's taxonomy places the organism in Eukaryota, Metazoa, Arthropoda, Insecta, Hymenoptera, Braconidae.